Non-coding RNA from Prunus avium (sweet cherry), 181 nucleotides. Lineage: Eukaryota; Viridiplantae; Streptophyta; Magnoliopsida; Rosales; Rosaceae. The record is from RefSeq and is a predicted model, not a curated record.
UUUGCACAGUUUCCUAAAUCAAGAGAUGAUAAAAGACUUGGACGAGUUGUAUGAUAUGACUGAUAAAUAUACAGAUAGAUGGCUCUCCUCAGGAAAGCAGACGAAACGGAUUAUCGAGAAGAUGUAUCCAUUAAACUAGACAAACUUAUACAACCAUGGUGGGAAUGGAGCUACCAGAAAA